UACGUAGGGAGCAAGCGUUGUCCGGAAUCAUUGGGCGUAAAGAGCGUGUAGGCGGUCCGGUAAGUCAGCUGUGAAAGUCAAGGGCUCAACCCUUGAAAGCCGGUUGAUACUGUCGGGCUAGAGUCCGGAAGAGGCGAGUGGAAUUCCCGGUGUAGCGGUGAAAUGCGCAGAUAUCGGGAGGAACACCAAUGGCGAAGGCAGCUCGCUGGGACGGUACUGACGCUGAGACGCGAAAGCGUGGGGAGCAAACAGG
Molecule: ribosomal RNA, 253 nt
Filed under: uncultured bacterium
Lineage: Bacteria
Description: partial 16S ribosomal RNA
Rfam family: Bacterial small subunit ribosomal RNA
Source: RNAcentral